RNAcentral lists this non-coding RNA (45 nucleotides) under Schistosoma mansoni. The record is from RNAcentral. Lineage: Eukaryota; Metazoa; Platyhelminthes; Trematoda; Strigeidida; Schistosomatidae.
AUCCAGCUGAUGUGUCCUGAAUAGGACGAAACGUGCUUCCUGAAU